RNAcentral lists this long non-coding RNA (351 nucleotides) under Nicotiana benthamiana. RNAcentral describes it as "long non-coding RNA (NBEN_LNC016611)". The record is from RNAcentral. Lineage: Eukaryota; Viridiplantae; Streptophyta; Magnoliopsida; Solanales; Solanaceae.
UUCAUUAAGGGUCUUGAUUAAUACCUUCUUAUGUUCAGUGGAGUUCAUUAACAAAGAUAACAAGGAGACUUGUUCAGGAUAUUUUCGAAGUUGGUCGAUCACCUCAUAAUCUGCCAUUUUCAUCUUUUAAAGGAAGGCCUUUGCUUCUUCAGCACUCACAUGCUUCUUAGAUAGGAAGCGCUUUCUAGUGGCAUUAUUCACCUCUUCCAAAUUGAAAUACUCUUCAGCCAAGUUAUUUUCUUGAACUUCCCCUAAGAUUUCUUUUCCUUUGUAUGUCACCAUUGACUUGCUAUAAUUCCAGGGCACAGCGACAGGAUCCGUCAUGGGCCUUUGUGGCGUGCGGCCAAUAAC